AGCAACUGAUCCUACUGAGAUGGGGCUUGAUGUUAUCAGAAGUCGGUCCGGCUGAGUCGAUUGUGAUGCAGAGCUGGUGUUGAUUAUGCGAAAUGUUCAUAAGAUUGUGGGCUCCAAACUUGCUUUUUAUGAAUGCUAUAUGAUAAUAUUGGCUUGUUCUUAAAAAGUAUUACCUAAGAGUUUUAAGGAUGACUGUUCUUUGGCUUUGGUGGAUUUUACUUUGGAUGGAUAAUUUAUGUGUGGCUGCCGAAUGUCACAUCUGCAGGUAAAUAUGGAUCAAUG
This 282-nucleotide unclassified non-coding RNA is filed under the name Hevea brasiliensis (rubber tree). The record is from RNAcentral. Lineage: Eukaryota; Viridiplantae; Streptophyta; Magnoliopsida; Malpighiales; Euphorbiaceae.